GCCUUCGUGGUGUAGUGGUUCUGCACACUGGGCCAGCAUUCCAGAGGUCCGUGGUUCGAUUCCCGGCGAAGGCG
This 74-nucleotide transfer RNA is filed under the name Stegodyphus dumicola. RNAcentral describes it as "tRNA-Ala". It matches the Rfam family "tRNA". From Rfam's summary of the family: Transfer RNA (tRNA) molecules are approximately 80 nucleotides in length. Their secondary structure includes four short double-helical elements and three loops (D, anti-codon, and T loops). Further hydrogen bonds mediate the characteristic L-shaped molecular structure. tRNAs have two regions of fundamental functional importance: the anti-codon, which is responsible for specific mRNA codon recognition, and the 3' end, to which the tRNAs corresponding amino acid is attached (by aminoacyl-tRNA synthetases). tRNAs cope with the degeneracy of the genetic code in two manners: having more than one tRNA (with a specific anti-codon) for a particular amino acid; and 'wobble' base-pairing, i.e. permitting non-standard base-pairing at the 3rd anti-codon position. The record is from RNAcentral. Lineage: Eukaryota; Metazoa; Arthropoda; Arachnida; Araneae; Eresidae.